AUGGGCGCACAGCAGUGGCUCUUGGAACGAGCGCCGGCCAACAAAAUGGCGACCGUUUGACUGAAAGGUUCGGCUCCUCAACGAUCUGGCCAGAUUAGUGACAGCAUAUUGGUUUGGGGCAACAGCUGCUGUCAGGACAGGCUUCCAGCGACGUGGGACGUGAAGGGGUUUCAGCCAAGCCCCGUGGUUCCACAGCUGCCGGAGUGACCUAGCAGUUGGCUGGGCAUACCCUGAACUGCAGAAGAUGUACGCUGGGCCAGAAGCAAGGCUUCUUCCUGCAGACUUGGAAGGGGCUGAUGACAAAGGCCUGCCAACAGUGCUGUGACUGUUCCUUCAUACCUUGUCUACCUGGUCUAUGCUCAAACCACUCUGGCCUUCCAACCCAAUCUUCACACUAUAAUGAGAAAAUAAAGGCAAUUUUUCAAUAAGACCUUCAACAAAGCCUAUUCAGCUUUAUCUUUCUUCAAGAUCUCCUGAUUUGUCUGUUUCAGCCACACCAGCCUUUGUCAGCCAUCAGCUUCUGUCUCGAAUGAUCUUUCUUUCCUUAUAUGCCCAAUAACACCUAUUUGACUCUGGCUCAAACUUUACUUUUUUAUGCACGCCUUUAUUGAUCUCCCUACUAGAUCAACUCUGCUCAUUAGCCCUCCUUAGCCAUGGGACAAUAUAGUGUUCUACUAGUUUGUAUGGUUAUUAUAU
This is a long non-coding RNA of Hyaena hyaena (striped hyena), 696 nucleotides long. RefSeq lists it as uncharacterized. The record is from RefSeq and is a predicted model, not a curated record. Lineage: Eukaryota; Metazoa; Chordata; Mammalia; Carnivora; Hyaenidae. The transcript has 3 exons.